GGACCAAGGAGUCUAGCAUGUGCGCGAGUCAUUGGGUCAAAUGUGAAACCUAAAGGCGAAAUGAAAGUAAAAGUUUACCUUGUGUAGACUUAGGGAAGAUGGGUAGCAUACUAUGCAACCCCGCAUUCCCGGGGCGUUCCGUACUCAUUGCGAGUUGGGGCGCACCUAGAGCGUACACGCUGGGACCC
Molecule: ribosomal RNA, 188 nt
Filed under: Loricera pilicornis
Lineage: Eukaryota; Metazoa; Arthropoda; Insecta; Coleoptera; Carabidae
Description: partial 28S ribosomal RNA
Rfam family: Eukaryotic large subunit ribosomal RNA
Source: RNAcentral